CCUUGGUGUGUUUUGAUUAUGCGGUGUGUUUGUUUACAUUUUGCAGCCGGCUGCCGUUUUCUAAUUUCUUUUCACUGGGAUUGCUUUUCAUUUCAGUGGAAAUCGGAACUUUGCGUGCAGUUUUGUAAAAACAAUUUCAAAUUGAUUCAGCCUUUAUUGAUGAAAUUCGUGCGGUGUUUUUCUCAAGAAAGUUACAUACUUCUCUGAACCAAAUUUUACUUUUUGACUGAAAGUUUUUGAGUGCAGUGUGCUUAAGGGUGAUUUGUGCUCAAAGUGAAGAAGUGCACAAUCGAAGUAAAUUGGCAUCAACCCUCUCUCGGCAAAGUCGACGGUGACAAGUUGUGAAGUCAUCGAUUACAAAACGCGUUUCGAGGCCGGUUGGAUGAGAACGCCAAUCAUUAUCAGUGAAGCAGCAAGAGGCCGAGUCUAACAGCAGACUUUUGCCCGCCUCGUCCAGCUACGAAUACUUUUAACUGUCGGUCAGGCUUCCAGACACCAAACCCCCACUAAAGGCACAGGCAAACAAGCAUAGAAAAUAAACUUGAGCAAAAUCAUAGUUCUAGAAAAUUAAUUGUAGUUUUUUUUAAUAAGAUUUUUAUUUAUAUUUGGCAAAAAAAAUCAGCAGCUUUAUUUAUGUAAUCAUUUUAUUUAUUUAAUUAUAGACAGGUAUUCAUGAAUUCAAAGCGGCUGAAUUAUCCAGCACCAUUAUCACUGUUUGAUUAUUUUCUCUUUAGGCAAGGCAGUGUUCCUUGGAUUAUUCAGGUCUGUUUCAUUCUUUCUACUCCAUGACGCUCAAAUUAAGAUGCUAUUGAAAGCUAAAAAUUAAAUUCUUUAAAACAAAAUUGACUCCGCAUUUUUGUUCGAGCGCAGAGUGUGCUUUUUUGUAAUUUUUUCGAGUAUAGUUUUGUGGUGAUUGUGUUGUUCUAUUUUUCCAUUUUUAUAUUUCAAAAGAAAUUUAACGAUUUCAAAUGUAAAUUGUAAUUCAUCAGUAUAAUUUAUGUUUUAUUAAACUUAUAUUGAAUUCUCUAUGUCUCUCUUUGACAUGAGUCCAGGUCAUCAGGUGCAACCGUGUGGUCUUGAACAACGUCUCUUGCCGCGGCUGCCUCCACAAGAUGUGCCUAAAAUAAAGAUCGAGUGGUUCAUUUUUGACAGAUCUUGUCCCUGUUCUGUCCAUACUACUCCAAUCAAAAUGAGAAAAAGGCCAGAGGCGGAGCAUAAUUUCAAGUACGAAAUAGAGGAAGACUACGCAGACCACUUGAACUUGUUGAAAAACCUUAACCUGGUCUUACCUUUUGGGUCAAGUGCUCAGGAGCGCACCAACCACCAACCACAUAAAAGCACCCAGUGCAGAAGCCAAGCGGAUUUGGAUUGACGUUUUCCUUUAUUGGCGGCGAGUUGCUUGAUGAGUGGACCACGAAACGCCUCCUCCACAUCUUCGGAGCUGGAUUCUUUUGGCUACUAUUUUUGCGGGUUCUCAAGGAGUCCAUGCUAAGUGGUCUAGAAGCAUCCCUGUGGCAGCUCAAAAAAGAAUGGCAGGAAUACUUGGAAACUCAAAACCAUCCCGGCCUGAUAGAGAGUCAAGAUCAAAGGAUGUAUGCGCGCCUCAAGAGGAUCCUAUACCACUUCUGGAUAGGAUUUGCAGAAGAAUUCCCGAGAGCAUUAAAAAGUGCAUUUCGAGACUUUCUGUUUGAAGCUCUAGCUCUCCUUUGGACGGUGCUAAGCAGUAUUGUUAUGAAGAUGAUUUGUCCUCUUCUACUCCCGAUUGGUCUCGCUCAAGCGAUCUGCCAAACCGGUGGAGUUCACAGAGGACGCAGACAAGAUUUUGCUCACCCACCUCAGGUCUCAUCACGAGCAGCAAAACACGAAGGAACCAGAGCUGCAGAAAAUGAAGAGUCGGGUAGGCAGCAACCCUAGAGGCAGCAACCACAGUGGUCCGGCAGUAAGAAACAAAGAGGAGCCGGAGUGGAAGCAUACAUGCAGACUCGGAAUGGCUACGAGACCAGUUUUUCGGACAACAAUAGAGUUCGAGGUUAUCCUCAUCAUAUACGGCAGCUCUUCUGACCAGAGCUGCAGAAGAGUCGGGUAGUCAGCAACCCCAGAGGCAGCAACCACAGUGGUCCAACAGUAAGAAAGAAAGAGGAGCCGGAGUCGAAGCAGACCUGCCGACUCAGAAGGGCUACAAGACCAGAAUUCGAAGAAUUCCGGUUUCAGGCGGACCAUUUCAGUCCUAUUUUAUGGGAGUAGCAGAACCAUCUGGAAUAAUGAGAAAGACUUUGAGCAGCAGCUUCAACAUAGAAAAUACCACCCUCUAUGUGCCUCACAAUGUGAGGGAAGUUGUCAAGACGGGCUUCCUAUACAGAGAAAAGAAACAGAUAAGAGAUUUCAUGUCACCGAUGGAAAUGUGGAUUAUGGUUGCUUGCUGCAAGGAGUUGCCUUUGAACUAUAAAUUAUUUGACGCACACGAUUUGCACAUUUGAAAUUGCAGCGCCGCUGCGGAAAGUCCAUGGGCAUCGUUGUAAUAAUUAUGUUCAUAUUUUUUCAUAAAA
This is a long non-coding RNA of Neocloeon triangulifer, 2546 nucleotides long. RefSeq lists it as uncharacterized. NCBI's taxonomy places the organism in Eukaryota, Metazoa, Arthropoda, Insecta, Ephemeroptera, Baetidae. The record is from RefSeq and is a predicted model, not a curated record. The transcript is spliced from 7 exons.